This 80-nucleotide transfer RNA is filed under the name Aspergillus candidus. RNAcentral describes it as "tRNA-Gly". It matches the Rfam family "tRNA". From Rfam's summary of the family: Transfer RNA (tRNA) molecules are approximately 80 nucleotides in length. RNAcentral also lists the same sequence under 1 other name. The record is from RNAcentral. Lineage: Eukaryota; Fungi; Ascomycota; Eurotiomycetes; Eurotiales; Aspergillaceae.
GCUCUGGUGGUGUAGCGGUAACAUCGUUCUCUUCCAUUCAAGGCUAAGAACAGCUCCGGGUUCGACUCCCGGCCAGUGCA